Molecule: long non-coding RNA, 416 nt
Organism: Osmerus eperlanus (European smelt)
Lineage: Eukaryota; Metazoa; Chordata; Actinopteri; Osmeriformes; Osmeridae
Exons: 3
Source: RefSeq, a predicted model, not a curated record
AGCCAGAAUCCCAAUCAUGCUCUGUUGGUGCCAUUCCUAGCAGACGUCAGGAAAGCCUACAUCACCACUGCAGUGUACCUCCAGAAGAAGCUCCCCUUGGCCAGUCCGACUCUGACAGCCCUGUCUGCUCUGGACCCUCUUCUGAGAGGCCACUCACAGGCAACCAUCCAGUUGAAGAGGCUGAGUGGUAUGCUGAGGCACCUCUUGCCAGCAGACCAGGACAUCCAGAGAGAACUUGUGCGGUUCAAUGUUGACCUGGCCAGCCCCAGUUUCAAGGAGGGAGAGAGCAUUGUGGAGUGGUGGGGUCAUGUCUUUGACCAGCCAGAUAAGUACCCCUCCCUGAGUGCAAUGGUUAAAUGUUGCCUCUCCAUCUUUCACGGACCAAGAGUUGAGUCGUCUUUUAGUUUGAUGAAUGA